GGGCGAGUGGUGGAAUGGCAGACACGCUAGUCUUAGGAACUAGUACCUUACGGUGUGAGAGUUCGACUCUCUCUUCGCCCACCA
This 84-nucleotide transfer RNA is filed under the name Abditibacteriota bacterium. RNAcentral's name for it is "tRNA-Leu". It matches the Rfam family "tRNA". From Rfam's summary of the family: Transfer RNA (tRNA) molecules are approximately 80 nucleotides in length. Their secondary structure includes four short double-helical elements and three loops (D, anti-codon, and T loops). Further hydrogen bonds mediate the characteristic L-shaped molecular structure. tRNAs have two regions of fundamental functional importance: the anti-codon, which is responsible for specific mRNA codon recognition, and the 3' end, to which the tRNAs corresponding amino acid is attached (by aminoacyl-tRNA synthetases). tRNAs cope with the degeneracy of the genetic code in two manners: having more than one tRNA (with a specific anti-codon) for a particular amino acid; and 'wobble' base-pairing, i.e. permitting non-standard base-pairing at the 3rd anti-codon position. Lineage: Bacteria; Pseudomonadati; Abditibacteriota. The record is from RNAcentral.